GAUGAACGCUGGCGGCGUGCCUAAUACAUGCAAGUCGAGCGAACGGACGAGAAGCUUGCUUUUCUGAUGUUAGCGGCGGACGGGUGAGUAACACGUGGAUAACCUACCUAUAAGACUGGGAUAACUUCGGGAAACCGGAGCUAAUACCGGAUAAUAUUUUGAACCGCAUGGUUCAAAAGUGAAAGACGGUCUUGCUGUCACUUAUAGAUGGAUCCGCGCUGCAUUAGCUAGUUGGUAAGGUAACGGCUUACCAAGGCAACGAUGCAUAGCCGACCUGAGAGGAUGAUCGGCCACACUGGAACUGAGACACGGUCCAGACUCCUACGGGAGGCAGCAGUAGGGAAUCUUCCGCAAUGGGCGAAAGCCUGACGGAGCAACGCCGCGUGAGUGAUGAAGGUCUUCGGAUCGUAAAACUCUGUUAUUAGGGAAGAACAUAUGUGUAUGUAACUGUGCACAUCUUGACGGUACCUAAUCAGAAAGCCCCGGCUAACUACGUG
RNAcentral lists this ribosomal RNA (497 nucleotides) under uncultured bacterium. Its description in RNAcentral is "partial 16S ribosomal RNA". It matches the Rfam family "Bacterial small subunit ribosomal RNA", at positions 28 to 507 of the family's 1533-position model. The record is from RNAcentral.